Molecule: ribosomal RNA, 402 nt
Filed under: uncultured bacterium
Lineage: Bacteria
Description: bacterial SSU rRNA
Rfam family: Bacterial small subunit ribosomal RNA
Source: RNAcentral
UGGGGAAUCUUAGACAAUGGGCGCAAGCCUGAUCUAGCCAUGCCGCGUGAGCGAUGAAGGCCUUAGGGUUGUAAAGCUCUUUUAGUGGGGAAGAUAAUGACUGUACCCACAGAAGAAGCCACGGCUAACUCCGUGCCAGCAGCCGCGGUAAUACGGAGGGGGCUAGCGUUGUUCGGAAUUACUGGGCGUAAAGCGCACGUAGGCGGACUGGAAAGUCAGGGGUGAAAUCCCGGGGCUCAACACCGGAACUGCCUUUGAAACUCCCGGUCUUGAGGUCGAGGGAGGUGGGUGGAAUUCCGAUUGUGGAGAUGAAAUUCGUAGAUAUUCGGAGGAACACCAGUGGCGAGGGCGGCUCACUGGCUCGAUACUGACGCUGAGGUGCGAAGGCGUGGGAAGCAAACG